Molecule: small RNA, 108 nt
Filed under: Marmota monax (woodchuck)
Lineage: Eukaryota; Metazoa; Chordata; Mammalia; Rodentia; Sciuridae
Source: RNAcentral
GCCAGGCACAGUGGCAUAUGCCUGUAAUCCCAGCUACUCAGGAGGCUGAGGCAGGAGGAUCGAAAGUUCAAAAGCCAUCCUGGGCAAUUUAGUGAGACCCUGAUUCAA